RNAcentral lists this ribosomal RNA (648 nucleotides) under uncultured Phaeosphaeria. RNAcentral describes it as "eukaryotic LSU rRNA". The stretch from base 181 to 334 matches the Rfam family "5.8S ribosomal RNA". Lineage: Eukaryota; Fungi; Ascomycota; Dothideomycetes; Pleosporales; Phaeosphaeriaceae. The record is from RNAcentral.
UAAGCUACGUGCAGGAUCAUUAAUUUCGGUGGAUUUCCACUGUUAUGAGGGGGAUUUCGGUCCCUUCUCUCCUUCCUUGUCUUUUGAGUACCCAAGUUUCCUUGGCAGGCUUGCCUGCCAGCUGGACAACCUAUAACCCUUUUAAUUUUUAAAUCAGCGUCUGAAAAAUUUAAUAAUUACAACUUUCAACAACGGAUCUCUUGGUUCUGGCAUCGAUGAAGAACGCAGCGAAAUGCGAUAAGUAGUGUGAAUUGCAGAAUUCAGUGAAUCAUCGAAUCUUUGAACGCACAUUGCGCCCCUUGGUAUUCCAUGGGGCAUGCCUGUUCGAGCGUCAUUUGUACCCUCAAGCUCUGCUUGGUGUUGGGUGUUUGUCCUAUUCUUUGCAAUAGGACUCGCCUUAAAACAAUUGGCAGCCAGUGUUUUGGCAUUGAAGCGCAGCACAUUUUGCAAUUCAAGCCCUAGCACUUGCGUCCAUAAAGCGUAUUUUACACUUUUGACCUCGGAUCAGGUAGGGAUACCCGCUGAACUUAAGCAUAUCAAUAAGCGGAGGAAAAGAAACCAACAGGGAUUGCCCUAGUAACGGCGAGUGAAGCGGCAACAGCUCAAAUCUGAAAUCUGGCUCUUUUAGGUCCGAGUUGUAAUUUGCAG